This 446-nucleotide ribosomal RNA is filed under the name uncultured bacterium. RNAcentral describes it as "bacterial SSU rRNA". It matches the Rfam family "Bacterial small subunit ribosomal RNA", at positions 329 to 792 of the family's 1533-position model. The record is from RNAcentral.
GUCCAGACUCCUACGGGAGGCAGCAGUGGGGAAUAUUGCACAAUGGGGGAAACCCUGAUGCAGCGACGCCGCGUGAGCGAUGAAGUAUUUCGGUAUGUAAAGCUCCAUCAGCAGGGAAGAAGAUGACGGUACCUGACUAAGAAGCCCCGGCUAACUACGUGCCAGCAGCCGCGGUAAUACGUAGGGGGCAAGCGUUAUCCGGAUUUACUGGGUGUAAAGGGAGCGUAGACGGCGGCGCAAGCCAGAUGUGAAAGCCCGGGGCUCAACUCCGGGACUGCAUUUGGAACUGUGUGGCUGGAGUGUCGGAGAGGCAGGCGGAAUUCCUAGUGUAGCGGUGAAAUGCGUAGAUAUUAGGAGGAACACCAGUGGCGAAGGCGGCCUGCUGGACGAUGACUGACGUUGAGGCUCGAAAGCGUGGGGAGCAAACAGGAUUAGAUACCCCGGUA